This 482-nucleotide ribosomal RNA is filed under the name uncultured bacterium. RNAcentral's name for it is "partial 16S ribosomal RNA". It matches the Rfam family "Bacterial small subunit ribosomal RNA", at positions 28 to 523 of the family's 1533-position model. The record is from RNAcentral.
GACGAACGCUGGCGGCGUGCUUAACACAUGCAAGUCGAACGAUGAACCAGGGCUUGCCCUGGGGAUUAGCGGCGAACGGGUGAGUAACACGUGGGCAACCUGCCCCAGACACCGGGAUAACCUCUCGAAAGAGUGGCUAAUACCGGAUACGACCACUUUGGGCAUCCAACGGUGGUGGAAAGGAUUCUGGUCUGGGAUGGGCCCGCGGCCUAUCAGCUUGUUGGUGGGGUAAUGGCCUACCAAGGCGACGACGGGUGGCCGGCCGGAGGGGGGAACCGGCCACACUGGGACUGGGACACGGCCCAGACUCCUACGGGAGGCAGCAGUGGGGAAUAUUGCGCAAUGGGCGAAAGCCUGACGCAGCGACGCCGCGUGAGGGACGAAGGUCUUCGGAUUGUAAACCUCUUUCAGCAGGGACGAAGCGAAAGUGACUGUACCUGCAGAAGAAGCACCGGCUAACUACGUGCCAGCCGCCGCCGUAA